UAUUGAAGGUCCAACCUGCCCAGUGAAAUAAUUAUUUUAACGGCCGCGGUAUCCUAACCGUGCAAAGGUAGCAUAAUCACUUGUUCCCUAAAUAGGGACUUGCAUGAACGGUUAAAUGAGGGUAUAACUGUCUCCUGCCGCCAAUCAAUGAAAUUGACCUUACAGUACAAACGCUGUAAUUAACUUACAAGACGAGAAGACCCUGUGGAGCUUUAAAUCCUUACAUUAACUAAUUAUCCAUAACCACCAUUAGUAUAAUGCAAAUUUUAAGUUGGGGCGACUGUGGAACAAAAAAAAACCUCCAUACAACACGACUAAACCUCGCCACACCAGGCUUACAAGCCCAACCAAAACACUUGACCCAGGCAACCUGAAUACUGAACCAAGUUACCCCAGGGAUAACAGCGCCAUCCCCUUAAAGAGUCCACAUCGCCAGGGGGUUUACGACCUCGAUGUUGGAUCAGGACUUCCCAGUGGUGAAGCCGCUACUAAAGGUUCGUUUGUUCAACGAA
This 512-nucleotide ribosomal RNA is filed under the name Phelsuma sundbergi longinsulae. RNAcentral's name for it is "partial 16S ribosomal RNA". It matches the Rfam family "Bacterial large subunit ribosomal RNA", at positions 1844 to 2588 of the family's 2925-position model. The record is from RNAcentral. Lineage: Eukaryota; Metazoa; Chordata; Lepidosauria; Squamata; Gekkonidae.